This 301-nucleotide ribosomal RNA is filed under the name uncultured bacterium. RNAcentral describes it as "partial 16S ribosomal RNA". It matches the Rfam family "Bacterial small subunit ribosomal RNA", at positions 509 to 808 of the family's 1533-position model. The record is from RNAcentral.
CAGCCGCCACGGUAAUACGUAGGGUGCGAGCGUUGUCCGGAAUUACUGGGCGUAAAGGGCUCGUAGGUGGUUUGUCGCGUCGUCUGUGAAAUUCCGGGGCUUAACUCCGGGCGUGCAGGCGAUACGGGCAUAACUUGAGUACUGUAGGGGUAACUGGAAUUCCUGGUGUAGCGGUGAAAUGCGCAGAUAUCAGGAGGAACACCGAUGGCGAAGGCAGGUUACUGGGCAGUUACUGACGCUGAGGAGCGAAAGCAUGGGUAGCGGACAGGAUUAGAUACCCCUGUAGUCCCUGUCUCUUAUA